RNAcentral lists this ribosomal RNA (468 nucleotides) under uncultured bacterium. RNAcentral's name for it is "partial 16S ribosomal RNA". It matches the Rfam family "Bacterial small subunit ribosomal RNA", at positions 28 to 507 of the family's 1533-position model. The record is from RNAcentral.
GACGAACGCUGGCGGCGUGCUUAACACAUGCAAGUCGAACGGAAAGGCCCUGCUUUUGUGGGAUGCUCGAGUGGCGAACGGGUGAGUAACACGUGAGUAACCUGCCCUUGACUUUGGGAUAACUUCAGGAAACUGGGGCUAAUACCGGAUAGGAGCUCCUGCUGCAUGGUGGGGGUUGGAAAGUUUCGGCGGUUGAGGAUGGACUCGCGGCUUAUCAGCUUGUUGGUGGGGUAGUGGCUUUCCAAGGCUUUGGCGGGUAGCCGGCCUGAGAGGGUGACCGGCCACGUUGGGACUAGGAGACGGCCCAGACUCCUACGGGGGGCAGCAGUGGGGAAUAUUGCACAAUGAGCGGAAGCCUUAUGCAGCAGCGCCGCGUGCGGGAUGACGGCCUUCGGGUUGUAAACCGCUUUCGCCUGUGACGAAGCGUGAGUGACGGUAAUGGGUAAAGAAGCACCGGCUAACUACGUG